This is a long non-coding RNA of Columba livia (rock pigeon), 661 nucleotides long. RefSeq lists it as uncharacterized. Lineage: Eukaryota; Metazoa; Chordata; Aves; Columbiformes; Columbidae. The transcript has 2 exons. The record is from RefSeq and is a predicted model, not a curated record.
GCCAGAGCUACAGCUUGUAUUGAGCCCCCCUGACUGUGCCCUGAGGUCAGCGUGGUGCCCCAAAGGAGCUCCCCUGGUGUUGUGCACAAGAGGAGUUUUGCUGCCUUGCAGCUGAUGUGGCACGACAUAGCAAGAUGAGGCGCUGGAUUCACCUGGUGUGCUAGGAAAACUUUGCCACUGUUGUACGUGGCUCAGUAAACCUUUGACACUAUAAUACAAAUGCAGCUUAGGCCAACUAAAUGGGCUCUGAGGAUUUCUUGUCUAACUCGGAUGGCAUGUCUGCACAUAGAAAUACUGGCUGUUGUAGGCAAGCCACAGCACUUUCAGGAGAUGUUUCUGUAAAUGAAAUAACUUAUAAAUGGAAGAAGGAGAGAAACAGCCUUCUUUCAAAUACAGUGCAGAUUUUAUUAUAACUGUCUGGUGCUUGGUGUUUGUGCUGCUCUGGGAUGUGGCAGAGACUCAGUUCUGAUUUACUCAUGAGCUGAUUCUGGUCUGAUAUAGUUUCUUCCAUUAUCAAAAGAAAUCUAGUAGGCUUUCUGCAAUCCAUCAGGCUUUUUUUGGGGGGGGGAUAUAAAAAGUUAAAAUUACAUAAUAAUAAUAAUAAUAAUAAUAAUAAUAAUAAUAAUAAUAAUAAUAAUAAUAAUAAUAAUAAUAAUAACAA